This 348-nucleotide unclassified non-coding RNA is filed under the name soil metagenome. RNAcentral's name for it is "partial contains 5.8S ribosomal RNA, internal transcribed spacer 2, and large subunit ribosomal RNA". The stretch from base 1 to 120 matches the Rfam family "5.8S ribosomal RNA", at positions 35 to 154 of the family's 154-position model. The record is from RNAcentral.
GAUGAAGAACGUAGCGAAAUGCGAUAAGUAAUGUGAAUUGCAGAAUUCAGUGAAUCAUCGAGUCUUUGAACGCACAUUGCGCCCCCUGGUAUUCCGGGGGGCAGGCCUGUCCGAGCGUCAUUGCCGCCCUCAAGCACGGCUUGUGUGUUGGGCCCCCGCCCCCCGGCUUCGGGGGGCGGGCCCGAAAGGCAGCGGCGGCACCGCGUCCGGUCCUCGAGCGUAUGGGGCUUCGUCACCCGCUCUGUAGGCCCGGCCGGCGCCCGCCGGCGACCCCAAUCAAUCUUUCCAGGUUGACCUCGGAUCAGGUAGGGAUACCCGCUGAACUUAAGCAUAUCAAUAAGCGGAGGA